GUCUCUGUAGCGCAGUGGAUAGUGCGUUGGACUUCUAAUCCAAAGUCGUGGUUUCGAAUCCCACCUGGGACG
This 72-nucleotide transfer RNA is filed under the name Trichonephila clavata. It matches the Rfam family "tRNA". Rfam says of the family: Transfer RNA (tRNA) molecules are approximately 80 nucleotides in length. Their secondary structure includes four short double-helical elements and three loops (D, anti-codon, and T loops). Further hydrogen bonds mediate the characteristic L-shaped molecular structure. tRNAs have two regions of fundamental functional importance: the anti-codon, which is responsible for specific mRNA codon recognition, and the 3' end, to which the tRNAs corresponding amino acid is attached (by aminoacyl-tRNA synthetases). tRNAs cope with the degeneracy of the genetic code in two manners: having more than one tRNA (with a specific anti-codon) for a particular amino acid; and 'wobble' base-pairing, i.e. permitting non-standard base-pairing at the 3rd anti-codon position. The record is from Rfam by way of RNAcentral. Lineage: Eukaryota; Metazoa; Arthropoda; Arachnida; Araneae; Nephilidae.